This 74-nucleotide transfer RNA is filed under the name Pseudomonas sp. FW306-02-F02-AB. RNAcentral's name for it is "tRNA-Val". It matches the Rfam family "tRNA". Rfam says of the family: Transfer RNA (tRNA) molecules are approximately 80 nucleotides in length. Their secondary structure includes four short double-helical elements and three loops (D, anti-codon, and T loops). RNAcentral also lists the same sequence under 8 other names. The record is from RNAcentral. Lineage: Bacteria; Pseudomonadati; Pseudomonadota; Gammaproteobacteria; Pseudomonadales; Pseudomonadaceae.
GUGAUUAGCUCAGCUGGGAGAGCGUCUGCCUUACAAGCAGAAUGUCGGCGGUUCGAUCCCGUCAUCACCCACCA